CAAAAUACAUAUCAACUCAGUGAAAUACCUACAUAAAUUAUAUUCAUUUAUCAUUUUGUGUUGUUUCUGGCGUCACUUAAUUAUACUCCUGAAUCGAUUCAUUAAAAAACGCCUAAAUAAGGAAAAAACAGAAAUGAUUAUGUUCGGUCACAGAAUAUACAAAAACCUAUUUCUCUAUUCUGUGGUUCAGUGAUCAUGUUUCAAAUGUCAUUGUAAAGAAAUAUUCAUUGUAGGUUAUCCAGAUUUCAUAAUUAUGCAACUAGAUAUUUCAAAAUUAUCAGCAAUACGAGCAUAAUUAAAUUGGUAACUUCAAUCUACGGUGACUAUAACCGUACACUACUAUAUAAAGCGAAGAAAUUAAAGGACGGGAAGAAUGAGUCCAUGGAAACAUAUAACUGAACUUAAAUGGUACGCAUUACCCAUCACAGGAGGUAUUAUAGGAUGGUAUAUAGAACAAACUGAGCAUUUGAGAUUCGCCCUUUUUAGAGAUAAAAGUAUGCUCUAUGGAAGGGUUCUCAAAGAAGGAGAAAAGCCGUCUUGGCCCUGAAGUUAAUAGUAAAACUUUUAAAGUUAUGUAGUACUCCGUAAAAAUAAAUUUUCUUGUGAAAUCUA
Long non-coding RNA from Harmonia axyridis, 612 nucleotides. RefSeq lists it as uncharacterized. NCBI's taxonomy places the organism in Eukaryota, Metazoa, Arthropoda, Insecta, Coleoptera, Coccinellidae. The transcript is spliced from 2 exons. The record is from RefSeq and is a predicted model, not a curated record.